Molecule: ribosomal RNA, 386 nt
Filed under: uncultured bacterium
Lineage: Bacteria
Description: bacterial SSU rRNA
Rfam family: Bacterial small subunit ribosomal RNA
Source: RNAcentral
AUUGAACGCUGGCGGCAUGCCUUACACAUGCAAGUCGAACGGCAGCACGGGAGCAAUCCUGGUAGCGAGUGGCGAACGGGUGAAUAAUGUAUCGGAACGUACCUUUCAGUGGGGGAUAACGUAGCGAAAGUUACGCUAAUACCGCAUAUUCUGUGAGCAGGAAAGCAGGGGAUCGCAAGACCUUGCGCUGAUUGAGCGGCCGAUAUCAGAUUAGCUAGUUGGUGAGGUAAAGGCUCACCAAGGCGACGAUCUGUAGCGGGUCUGAGAGGAUGAUCCGCCACACUGGAACUGAGACACGGUCCAGACUCCUACGGGAGGCAGCAGUGGGGAAUUUUGGACAAUGGGCGCAAGCCUGAUCCAGCCAUGCCGCGUGAGUGAAGAAGGCC